AGCCCAAGUGUAAACCCGUCACAGAGAUCAACUCUCACGUGAAUCCAUUACCCUCGGAGAGAAUAAAGGAGAUGCUGCCGGGGCCGACGCCGACGCUGACGCUGACGCUGGUGGGAACCCUGUUUGGGCCGGGCAUCUUAGAUGCACUCCGUUGCCCUCUGCAAGCUCCUCUAUAUCCGGCGUACGCAACUGCCCCUUCCUUCCUCCGGCACCCCAAACCCUAAUCUUCUUUGAUAUCUUCUUCUUUAGUGUUGGAUGGGUGGGAUCGAUCGGUUCUACGUUACCUUGCGUGCUGGGAUGAGGCUGAGGGUCGUCUUCGUGAAUCAUUUCGUAGGACGACGACCUCGAGGCGGCGGUUGACAAGAUGCUGCACAAGGCAAUGGCCGUCAACCAGUACAGAAACUUCUGUGUUCAAGAAGCAUUCUUUCUGAUCCCUCGCGUUGAAGGUUUGCGAGAUAUGAGAGUUUGUGGAAGAAUUGAGGGGUGAGGACGCCAAGUAUCCACAUGAGGUGGUACUGUUAGGGACCACUGAAAGAUUGAGAUGGUCGCGCUAUGUAAUUGAAGAUUGUGGAUGUAUUUUGAUGUUCGAAGGAUUCGAUAACAAAAUAGAUAUUGCACACCUAAAAAUUUGUAACAAUGAGCACAGACAGAGAAAAUUAAAAGGAAAUAACAAUGACAAUUAGGGAAGGAAGGAAGGAUAUAUACUAUAUGAAAGAAAAGAAUACUGAAAUAUCCUACAUAAUUUCCUUUCUCUUUUGUUAUUGUAUGCCAAGUUUCAGACAACAUUGUUUUUCACAUUGUCUGACUCGGCACAGUUCAAUAAGGUAAUGAUUUAGAACUUGUUCAUUUGAUUCAUAAUGCUCAUGGGACUUCCUAUUUUCUUGGUGGA
Musa acuminata AAA Group (dessert banana) is the source of this 889-nucleotide long non-coding RNA. RefSeq lists it as uncharacterized. The transcript is spliced from 2 exons. The record is from RefSeq and is a predicted model, not a curated record. NCBI's taxonomy places the organism in Eukaryota, Viridiplantae, Streptophyta, Magnoliopsida, Zingiberales, Musaceae.